UACGUAGGGGGCGAGCGUUAUCCAGAUUUACUGGGCGUAAAGCGCGUGUAGGCGGCUGGUUAGGUGUGAUCUGAAAUCCUCGGGCUCAACCCGAGAACUGCAUUGCAAACCGGCCUGGCUAGAGUGCAGGAGAGGGAAGCGGAAUUCCAGGUGUAGCGGUGAAAUGCGUAGAUAUCUGGAGGAACACCGAUGGCGAAGGCAGCCCCCUGGGCUAACACUGACGCUCAUGCACGAAAGCGUGGGGAGCAAACAGG
This 254-nucleotide ribosomal RNA is filed under the name uncultured bacterium. RNAcentral's name for it is "partial 16S ribosomal RNA". It matches the Rfam family "Bacterial small subunit ribosomal RNA", at positions 524 to 776 of the family's 1533-position model. The record is from RNAcentral.